ACUCAUAAUGCAAUUCUCCGUACAGGUGCGGCCACUGCAAACAGCUGGCUCCCAUCUACGACAAGCUGGCCGAACACUUCGAGAAGGACGAUGACGUCGUGAUCGCCAAGAUGGAUGCCACCGCCAACGAGCUGGAGCACACCAAGAUCACCUCCUUCCCCACCAUCAAGCUCUACACUAAGGACAACCAGGUGAAGGAUUACAACGGCGAGAGGACGCUGGCAGCUAUGACCAGCUUCGUUGAGAGCGAUGGUGAGGGCGCUGAACCUAAACCCAGUGUGAGCGAGGAUGAUGAAGAAGACGAGUUGCCAGCCAGAGACGAGUUAUAAGCGCUCGACGGCCAGUACACUCUCAUGAGACUUCCAUAGUAUAGUACUGUACUGUAUAGAUUAUAAUUAUUUACUUUUAUACUUAAACUAACACGUUUGCAUUUCAUUUGCUAGACUGUUGACUUGUUCUUUAAAUUGUGUUAAGGUUGUACUUGAACGAACUAAGUUAAUACGCACUGUCUGAUAUUUUGUAACGUAAUACUCCGUAUAUUCGUGAAUCAUGUAACGCCACACAUGUGGCCCGAUCUCGUGCAAGUACCCAGUAAAAGUUUAAUUUAUUUUCUAAAGGCAUAAUUUAUUUUGCAUAAACAGCAGCAUAACUUAGUUUAUGUAUAACUAAUGUAUUUAUAAUUUCUGUAUCAUAAUGGUAUAAUAUUUUGACAUUCCUUAGUACAAGUUAUAGUUACAUCGAACAAGUGUUUUGUUGAAGGAGCAUUGGCGUUAUUAUUUUUAUAUUUUACAUUACUUGUACAUUUUAUUCAUCACAACAAAAUAGAAUUACUUGUAACGGACAUAUUACCCGUUAAGUUGUAUUUUUUCUAGUGUUUUUUUUUAAUGAAAUUUGUGUCGUUGAAUAGUUCAAUCGUAUGUACUUGCAUUCUCGUAUGUAUUUAGCUACUUUCAUAAUGAUAAUUAGUGAGGAUUUUGAAAAUGUAAUUUUCUAAGUAUAUUUGGUAAUUCUGUCUAUAAAUGUAAAUAUUCGUAAUUGUAUUUGCCAAAUCUGCAUUUGUGUAUCUAUUGUGGAUACAGAAAUUGAUAAAUAAACAAAUUUAAAACUUA
This is a long non-coding RNA of Trichoplusia ni (cabbage looper), 1109 nucleotides long. RefSeq lists it as uncharacterized. The transcript has 3 exons. The record is from RefSeq and is a predicted model, not a curated record. NCBI's taxonomy places the organism in Eukaryota, Metazoa, Arthropoda, Insecta, Lepidoptera, Noctuidae.